AUUGAACGCUGGCGGCACGCCUAACACAUGCAAGUCGAGCGGCAGCACAAUAUGUAGCAAUACAUAUGGGUGGCGAGCGGCGGACGGGUGAGUAAUGCACAGGAAUCUACCUUGAAGUGGGGGAUAACCCGGGGAAACUCGGGCUAAUUCCGCAUAAUAUCUACGGAUUAAAGUGGGGGACCGUAAGGCCUCACGCUUCUAGAUGAGCCUGUGUCCGAUUAGCUAGUUGGUGGGGUAAUGGCCUACCAAGGCUACGAUCGGUAGCUGGUCUGGAAGGACGGACAGCCACACUGGGACUGAGACACGGCCCAGACUCCUACGGGAGGCAGCAGUGGGGAAUAUUGGACAAUGGGGGCAACCCUGAUCCAGCGAUGCCGCGUGUGUGAAGAAGGCCUGCGGGUUGUAAAGCACUUUAAGUGGGAAAGAGUGGUAGAUAAAUUAAUAACUUAUUUACUUGACGUUACCCAAAGAAUAAGCACCGGCUAACUCUGUGCCAGCCGCCGCAGUAA
This 509-nucleotide ribosomal RNA is filed under the name uncultured bacterium. RNAcentral describes it as "partial 16S ribosomal RNA". It matches the Rfam family "Bacterial small subunit ribosomal RNA", at positions 30 to 523 of the family's 1533-position model. The record is from RNAcentral.